CCUACGGGUGGCAGCAGUGAGGAAUAUUGGUCAAUGGCCGCGAGCCUGAACCAGCCAAGUCGCGUGAGGGAAUACGGCCCUAUGGGUCGUAAACCUCUUUUGCCAGGGAGCAAAGGCCUCCACGAGUGGACGCAAUGAGAGUACCUGGAGAAAAAGCAUCGGCUAACUCCGUGCCAGCAGCCGCGGUAAUACGGAGGAUCCGAGCGUUAUCCGGAUUUAUUGGGUUUAAAGGGUGCGUAGGUGGGUUGUUAAGUCAGCUGUGAAAAUUUGGGGCUCAACCCUAUAAGUGCAGUUGAUACUGGCAGCCUUGAGUGAGGGAGAGGUAGGCGGAAUGCGUGGUGUAGCGGUGAAAUGCAUAGAUAUCACGAAGAACGCCGAUUGCGAAGGCAGCCUACUGGACUUCAACUGACGUUGAUGCACGAAAGUGUGGGUAUCAAACAGGAUUAGAUACCCGAGUAGUC
Molecule: ribosomal RNA, 461 nt
Filed under: uncultured bacterium
Lineage: Bacteria
Description: partial 16S ribosomal RNA
Rfam family: Bacterial small subunit ribosomal RNA
Source: RNAcentral